UGCAUCUGUAGCCCAUGAGGAUGAGAACCUCCGGGGGCAGGGAGGUUCGACUCGAGCGAAGCGAGAGAACGUUGCGCCAGCAACGGCCCGCAGGGCGAGCCACGAAGUGGCGAGUAAUCCUCUAUCACCGACCA
RNAcentral lists this small RNA (134 nucleotides) under Escherichia coli. RNAcentral's name for it is "RtT sRNA". It matches the Rfam family "RtT RNA". Rfam says of the family: This family represents a bacterial cis-regulatory element known as RtT RNA. The exact function of RtT is unknown although it is thought that it may be involved in changing the cellular response in relation to amino acid starvation. The record is from RNAcentral. Lineage: Bacteria; Pseudomonadati; Pseudomonadota; Gammaproteobacteria; Enterobacterales; Enterobacteriaceae.